GAUGAACGCUGGCGGCGUGCUUAACACAUGCAAGUCGAACGAUGAAGCCCAGCUUGCUGGGUGGAUUAGUGGCGAACGGGUGAGUAACACGUGGGUAACCUGCCCUUAACUCUGGGAUAAGCCUGGGAAACUGGGUCUAAUACCGGAUAGGAGCGCCUACCGCAUGGUGGGUGUUGGAAAGAUUUAUCGGUUUUGGAUGGACUCGCGGCCUAUCAGCUUGUUGGUGAGGUAAUGGCUCACCAAGGCGACGACGGGUAGCCGGCCUGAGAGGGUGACCGGCCACACUGGGACUGAGACACGGCCCAGACUCCUACGGGAGGCAGCAGUGGGGAAUAUUGCACAAUGGGCGAAAGCCUGAUGCAGCGACGCCGCGUGAGGGAUGACGGCCUUCGGGUUGUAAACCUCUUUCAGUAGGGAAGAAGCGAAAGUGACGGUACCUGCAGAAGAAGCACCGGCUAACUACGUG
RNAcentral lists this ribosomal RNA (466 nucleotides) under uncultured bacterium. Its description in RNAcentral is "partial 16S ribosomal RNA". It matches the Rfam family "Bacterial small subunit ribosomal RNA", at positions 28 to 507 of the family's 1533-position model. The record is from RNAcentral.